Molecule: ribosomal RNA, 985 nt
Filed under: human gut metagenome
Description: bacterial LSU rRNA
Rfam family: Bacterial large subunit ribosomal RNA
Source: RNAcentral
ACGGUCCUAAGGUAGCGAAAUUCCUUGUCGGGUAAGUUCCGACCUGCACGAAUGGCGUAACGACUUCCCCACUGUCUCGACCAGGAGCUCGGCGAAAUUGCAGUACGAGUAAAGAUGCUCGUUAAGCGCAGAAGGACGAAAAGACCCCGGGACCUUUACUAUACCUUGGUAUUGGCGUUAGGCGCGGAUUGUGUAGCAUAGGCGGGAGGCUUCGAAGCAUGGGCGCCAGCCCGUGUGGAGCCGCAAGGUGAAAUACCGCUCUGUUCUCGUUUGACGUCUAACCUCGAACAGUCAUCCUGUUCAGGGACAGUGCCUGGCGGGUAGUUUAACUGGGGCGGUUGCCUCCCAAAGAGUAACGGAGGCGCUCAAAGGUCCGCUCAGCCCGGUUGGCAAUCGGGUUUCGAGUGUAAUCGCACAAGCGGGCUUGACUGCGAGAACGACGGUUCGGGCAGGGACGAAAGUCGGAGAUAGUGAUCCGGUGCCGGCGCACGGGCGCGGCAUCGCUCAACGGAUAAAAGGUACCCCGGGGAUAACAGGCUGAUCAUUCCCAAGAGUCCAUAUCGACGGGAUGGUUUGGCACCUCGAUGUCGGCUCGUCGCAUCCUGGGGCUGGAGCAGGUCCCAAGGGUUCGGCUGUUCGCCGAUUAAAGCGGCACGCGAGCUGGGUUCAGAACGUCGUGAGACAGUUUGGUCUCUAUCCUCUGCGCUCGUUGGAAUCCUGAGGAGGCCUGCCCAUAGUACGAGAGGACCUGGGUGGACGGACCUCUGGUAUGCCGGUUGUCGCGCCAGCGGCAUGGCCGGUUGGCUACGUUCGGGAGGGAUAACCGCUGAAAGCAUCUAAGCGGGAAGCCUGCUCCAAGAUUAGGAUUCCUUGGCGCUCCCCGGAGCGCCUGUAGCCCGCAUGUUGAACACGUGUUCGAUAGGCCGGAGGUGGAAGCCCCGCGAGGGGUGGAGCCGACCGGUACUAACGGGCGAACGCGGCACUU